UACGUAGGGUCCAAGCGUUAUCCGGAAUUACUGGGCGUAAAGAGUUGCGUAGGUGGCAUAGCAAGCGGAUAGUGAAAUGAUACGGCUCAACCGUAUGUCCAUUAUCUGAACUGCUGAGCUAGAGAAUGAGAGAGGUUAUUGGAAUUCCCUGUGUAGGAGUGAAAUCCGUAGAUAUAGGGAGGAACACCGAUGGCGUAGGCAGAUAACUGGCUCAUUUCUGACACUAAGGCACGAAAGCGUGGGUA
RNAcentral lists this ribosomal RNA (245 nucleotides) under uncultured bacterium. RNAcentral describes it as "partial 16S ribosomal RNA". It matches the Rfam family "Bacterial small subunit ribosomal RNA", at positions 524 to 767 of the family's 1533-position model. The record is from RNAcentral.